UAGUACGGCGAGUGAAGCGGCAACAGCUCAAAUUUGAAAUCUGGCUUAGGCCCGAGUUGUAAUUUGCAGAGGAUGCUUCUGGCGCGGUGCCUUCCGAGUUCCCUGGAACGGGACGCCACAGAGGGUGAGAGCCCCGUAUGGUCGGACACCAAGCCUGUGUGAAGCUCCUUCGACGAGUCGAGUAGUUUGGGAAUGCUGCUCUAAAUGGGAGGUAAAUCUCUUCUAAAGCUAAAUACCGGCCAGAGACCGAUAGCGCACAAGUAGAGUGAUCGAAAGAUGAAAAGCACCUUGAAAAGGGGGUUAAAUAGUACGUGAAAUUGUUGAAAGGGAAGCACUUAUGACCAGACUUGGGCCGGGCGGCUCAUCAGGGGUUCUCCCCUGUGCACUCCGCCCGGCACAGGCCAGCAUCGGUUCUCGUGGGGGGAUAAGACCGUCAGGAACGUAGCACCCUCCGGGGUGUGUUAUAGCCUGGCGGACGAUACCCCCGUGGGGACCGAGGUCCGCGCUCCGCAAGGAUGCUGGCGUAAUGGUCAUCAGUGACCCAUA
Molecule: ribosomal RNA, 546 nt
Filed under: Diaporthaceae sp. 79 JZ-2013
Lineage: Eukaryota; Fungi; Ascomycota; Sordariomycetes; Diaporthales; Diaporthaceae
Description: eukaryotic LSU rRNA
Rfam family: Eukaryotic large subunit ribosomal RNA
Source: RNAcentral